UUGUGUAUAUGAUUUCAUUCUUUUAUUUUAUAUUUUCCUUUUUUAGGUCAAAAGGGGCGAUUCUGAACAUCUCCUCUGCCAGUGGCAUGUAUCCAGUCCCACUGAUGACCAUGUACUCGGCAACCAAGGCUUUUGUAGAUUUCUUCUCUCAGUGCCUCCAUGAAGAAUAUAAGAGCAAGGGCAUCUUUGUGCAGUGUUCAAUGCCUUCUUUUUAAAGAUUCAAAAAGGAUACAAACUUUAGAUUUCAUCAGAAUGUUUCUGCUACAAAGAACAACCACCACAGUGAAUUCUGCGUUUGUGGCCUUUGCUAAU
Manis javanica (Malayan pangolin) is the source of this 312-nucleotide non-coding RNA. The record is from RefSeq and is a predicted model, not a curated record. Lineage: Eukaryota; Metazoa; Chordata; Mammalia; Pholidota; Manidae.